This 223-nucleotide long non-coding RNA is filed under the name Elaeis guineensis (African oil palm). RNAcentral's name for it is "long non-coding RNA (EGUI_LNC017231)". The record is from RNAcentral. Lineage: Eukaryota; Viridiplantae; Streptophyta; Magnoliopsida; Arecales; Arecaceae.
UAUCACACACACAUACGACAAAGCUAACUCCAUAAAAACUAAUCUAGACCGAAACAGCCUAAUAUCCUGACCCGAUUUAAAACCUAUUAUAGGGUCAUAUCAUCACGGAUAUUAUUUUUGAGAUUCAUCCUCAAAUUAUAAAAAUAAUUAUACUGAUCAGAUUUUACAAAAAAAUUUUGAAAAAAAAUAACUAUGCAAUGUUCAAUCCAUUGAAUCAGAUCUC